RNAcentral lists this ribosomal RNA (880 nucleotides) under uncultured archaeon. Its description in RNAcentral is "bacterial SSU rRNA". It matches the Rfam family "Archaeal small subunit ribosomal RNA", at positions 1 to 879 of the family's 1478-position model. The record is from RNAcentral.
GGUUGAUCCGCGGAGUGCAUGUAUCGGAGUCGAUUAAGCCAUGCGAGUCGAGAGGUGCAAGACUCGGCAUACUGCUCAGUAACACGUNGACAACUAACCUAUUGAGGGGGAUAACCCGGGAAACUGGGGAUAAUAACCCAUAAUAUGAAUGCUGGAAUGCUUUGUAUUGAAAGUGUCCGCGCAUAGGAUGGGUCUGCGGCCGGAUUAGUGUUKGUUGUUUGGGKGUCAACWGGCCCAACCAAGCCKGUCAAGUCGGUYACGGUGWUUGUUGUGGAGCAAGAGCCCGGAGAUGUGAUUUCUUGAGACACGSAAUCCAGKGCCCUACGGGGCGCAGCAGUGCUGCGAAAACUUUACAAUUGCGGGMAAACYGUGAUAAGGGAACUCCGGAGUUGCCCGUAAAAAUCCGRGGCUGUCCCAUCUGUUUCAAAUCAACCAGGUGSAAGCAAAGGGCCGGGCAAUGACCAGGUGCCAGCCAGCCGCGGGUAAUACCAGGCAGGCUCGAUGUGCCCACUAUUACUGGGCUUAAAGCGUUCGUAGCUGUCUUUAAUCUCUGGGGAAAUCUACUGGCUUAACCAAUAGGCGUCUCAGGGAUACUGCAGAUAGGGACCGGGAGAGUGAGAGGUACUCCAGGGUAGGAGUGAAAUCCUGUAAUCCUUGGGGGACCACCUGUGGCGAAGGCGUCUCACCAGACGGCUCCGACAGUGAGGGACAGAAAGCUGGGGGACAAACCGGAUUAGAUACCCGGUAGUCCCAGCUGUAAACGAUGCGCGUUAGGUGUAUCGGUGACCACGAGUCAUCGAGGUGCCGAAGAGAAAUCGUGAAACGUCCGCCUGGGAAGUACGUCGCAAGCCUGAAACUUAAAGAAUUGGCGGGGGAGCAC